UAUAUACGUAUGAGAAACACAGAACUUAAACUUAAGUUGCCUCCUAGGAUCGUCUUAUAUGUCAAUACAUGUUUUCUUUUGAUUCUCCCUCUAGAACUCCAAAUCAUUGUGGCUUGUUCUCCUGAUGUGUGAUAGGCAACUUGUUCUAUAUAUGUGAAUGUAUAAUUGGUACCUUGUGGUAUGAUGCAUUGCGAGAGUUUCAUAUAUGCUAUUUGCAUGUCAGACUUAUAAAGGAAAUCUUAAUGUGGAGGAGUUUUGCUAGAUGUUGAGAUUUGAAGUUUGAUUUGGGGUUGACGGGUACUCGCUAUGGCACUUAGCUUGGAUUGCAUGAAGUGCACAUUGAGACAUCUCUUGAGAGCUUCAUUGGAAUCAUUAAGGAGUUGUUUAUCAUCUAGUCUAAUUCAUGUGUACUUUACCCGCAAUUGAAGGUUGUACCUUUUGGCUGGAACAUAUGUAAAGCUAUGUAUAAACUCCUCUCCUUGAUUAUUGUGAAGCCCUUUUAGUGGAAGACGUUUGGGAGACUUUAUGUAAAAAAAAAAAAAUUAGAGAGAAGAAGAAGUGACUUUGAUUCUUUGUUUGUAUUGGCAUGACAUUUAAGGAUAAAUAUAGUUGAGAGAAAGACUUUUGUUUGUAGAAAAUGUAUUAUUAUUUU
This is a long non-coding RNA of Rhododendron vialii, 652 nucleotides long. RefSeq lists it as uncharacterized. Lineage: Eukaryota; Viridiplantae; Streptophyta; Magnoliopsida; Ericales; Ericaceae. The record is from RefSeq and is a predicted model, not a curated record. The transcript is spliced from 2 exons.